CCUACGGGAGGCAGCAGUGAGGAAUAUUGGUCAAUGGGCUUACGCCUGAACCAGCCAAGUCGCGUGAGGGAAGACUGCCCUAUGGGUUGUAAACCUCUUUUGUCAGGGAGCAACGCCGGCUACGUGUAGCCGGACUGAGAGUACCUGAAGAAAAAGCAUCGGCUAACUCCGUGCCAGCAGCCGCGGUAAUACGGAGGAUGCGAGCGUUAUCCGGAUUUAUUGGGUUUAAAGGGUGCGUAGGCGGAAUGCCAAGUCAGCGGUAAAAUCGCGGGGCUCAACCUCGCUCCGCCGUUGAAACUGGCGUGCUUGAGUGGGCGAGAAGUAUGCGGAAUGCGUGGUGUAGCGGUGAAAUGCAUAGAUAUCACGCAGAACUCCGAUUGCGAAGGCAGCAUACCGGCGCCCAACUGACGCUGAAGCACGAAAGCGUGGGUAUCGAACAGGAGUAGAUACCCCGGUAGUC
RNAcentral lists this ribosomal RNA (460 nucleotides) under uncultured bacterium. RNAcentral describes it as "partial 16S ribosomal RNA". It matches the Rfam family "Bacterial small subunit ribosomal RNA", at positions 338 to 795 of the family's 1533-position model. The record is from RNAcentral.